UAAUGGGUCAGCGACUUAUAUUCUGUAGCAAGGUUAACCGAAUAGGGGAGCCGAAGGGAAACCGAGUCUUAACUGGGCGUUAAGUUGCAGGGUAUAGACCCGAAACCCGGUGAUCUAGCCAUGGGCAGGUUGAAGGUUGGGUAACACUAACUGGAGGACCGAACCGACUAAUGUUGAAAAAUUAGCGGAUGACUUGUGGCUGGGGGUGAAAGGCCAAUCAAACCGGGAGAUAGCUGGUUCUCCCCGAAAGCUAUUUAGGUAGCGCCUCGUGAAUUCAUCUCCGGGGGUAGAGCACUGUUUCGGCAAGGGGGUCAUCCCGACUUACCAACCCGAUGCAAACUGCGAAUACCGGAGAAUGUUAUCACGGGAGACACACGGCGGGUGCUAACGUCCGUCGUGAAGAGGGAAACAACCCAGACCGCCAGCUAAGGUCCCAAAGUCAUGGUUAAGUGGGAAACGAUGUGGGAAGGCCCAGACAGCCAGGAUGUUGGCUUAGAAGCAGCCAUCAUUUAAAGAAAGCGUAAUAGCUCACUGGUCGAGUCGGCCUGCGCGGAAGAUGUAACGGGGCUAAACCAUGCACCGAAGCUGCGGCAGCGACACUAUGUGUUGUUGGGUAGGGGAGCGUUCUGUAAGCCUGUGAAGGUGUACUGUGAGG
This 655-nucleotide ribosomal RNA is filed under the name Escherichia coli. RNAcentral's name for it is "partial 23S ribosomal RNA". It matches the Rfam family "Bacterial large subunit ribosomal RNA", at positions 613 to 1268 of the family's 2925-position model. The record is from RNAcentral. Lineage: Bacteria; Pseudomonadati; Pseudomonadota; Gammaproteobacteria; Enterobacterales; Enterobacteriaceae.